CUACAUUGUAUGGACAAAUAACAGACUUUUUUUUUUAAAUACCUUCUUUUGUGUCCAUGAAGAAAGAAUGUCAUGCAGGUUUGGAUCGACCUGAGGGCUUCUUCCUUUUCUUUUUGCUACCCUCUCAUUAUCAUUACCACUAUUAUGGAAGCCAUGAGAGACGCAAGGCAAAAGAGGCAUACAAUAUCAGGUAUUGAGCCACACCCAUCACCACACAGAGAAAAAAACAUGGGCUCAGGGGCUGCACAAUUCAGACUGGACAGUGCGAUCGAUAGGAUGCUCUAUUAGCCGUUGCCAUGGCAACUCACAGAGCAAGGACAGAGCCCCGGCGUUUAUUUACACCUGUCUUCUACUCCCUGCCACCUUGUGCUAGUCCCUGGCAGCUUGUGUUGGUUUAAGUGCCACCCAAAAACGUUAUACACUGUUAUACCUAUUAUCUAUUGUAUUUAUGAUUGUUUUUUUUGUCAUAGUGCAAUUUGCAUUUGCUUCCCCAAAAAGCGUAUAGGAUUUUGUAGGUGUACACAUUAUCUGUGUCUCAAUGGCCACUGUUUGUCUGCGUUCUUUGCACAAGUGUAGGAGUCUUUACUUUGCGUUGACCCCAAUUUGCAGGUCAAGUAAACAUGUUCAAUGCUGCAGCCGUUGACUUGACGAGGUCAUUAAAGAGAGCUGGAGAAGAACAGGCUAAGGCUUUUUUCAAUGAGCGCAUGAGUGAGCAAAACACUGCAACAAAGAGCGGAUCAGCAGACAACUUAACACUAGAAGCCAGCCAACUUAACACAAGAAUCCUCUUAGAUCUAUGUGAAUAUGGAUAAAGAAGUCAAAUGGUUAAACAAGUCAUUACAUAGAACGUUAGUUCAUUUUUACAGUAAAGUGAAAUAACGCGCUUAGUGAAACUGUUGUAUAAUAACGUAUAAUAUCAGCCUACACUUUUUAUUAAUAAAAAAGUGCAGUGAUGCCAUAGAAGAAAUAUUUUGGGUUCCCCAAAUAAUCUUUCAGUGAUCAAUAGUUAAAAUAACCAUUUUUUCUUAGUUCUUAGUUUAAAGAACAUUUUAAUAAUUUAAAAAACCUUUUUACAAUAUAAAAAAUAAAAACAGACAAAAAAAAACCUUGGUUCCAUGGAUGUUCAACGUUCUUUUUAGAACCAUCAAUGCCAAAAAAGAAUGUUUAUUUUUAAGAGGCACAAUGGAGCUUUGGAAGAAAUCUACAUAUCUAAAAAUGGUUAAACUGAUUGUAAAUAGGGAUGCAUGGC
This 1249-nucleotide long non-coding RNA is filed under the name Sinocyclocheilus anshuiensis. RNAcentral's name for it is "lncRNA (ENSSANG00000008593.1)". Lineage: Eukaryota; Metazoa; Chordata; Actinopteri; Cypriniformes; Cyprinidae. The record is from RNAcentral.